This 433-nucleotide ribosomal RNA is filed under the name uncultured bacterium. RNAcentral describes it as "partial 16S ribosomal RNA". It matches the Rfam family "Bacterial small subunit ribosomal RNA", at positions 29 to 507 of the family's 1533-position model. The record is from RNAcentral.
AACGAACGCUGGCGGCAUGCCUAACACAUGCAAGUCGAACGAGACCUUCGGGUCUAGUGGCGCACGGGUGCGUAACGCGUGGGAACCUGCCCUUAGGUUCGGAAUAACUCCCCGAAAGGGGUGCUAAUACCGGAUAAUGUCUUCGGACCAAAGAUUUAUCGCCUUUGGAUGGGCCCGGGUUGGAUUAGCUAGUUGGUAGGGUAAAAGCCUACCAAGGCGACGAUCCAUAGCUGGUCUGAGAGGAUGAUCAGCCACACUGGGACUGAGACACGGCCCAGACUCGUACGGGAGGCAGCAGUGGGGAAUAUUGGACGAUGGGCGAAAGCCUGAUCCAGCAAUGCCGCGUGAGUGAGGAAGGCCUUAGGGUUGUAAAGCUCUUUUACCCGGGAUGAUAAUGACAGUACCGGGAGAAUAAGCUCCGGCUAACUCCGUG